CUAGGAAAACCGCACAGCCACAGCCCCAGGGGGGAGCCCAGGGAAAGGGGCUGGCAAAGGUCUCUCCAGUCUCGAGCUCAGCUGCACCUGUUGGCACGAGAGUCACGAGCGAGAGGCGCCUGCCGGCAACAAAUCUAAGUAGAUACAAUGUUUACAGGUAACGCCGGGCAUGGGUGUUGUACAACGGGGGGAGGGCGAGCUACUAAUUAAGAUAAAUGAUGCACAAGUGAGAGCUACGAGCAAUAAGAAUCAAGAAUGAUUGCAGCACGAGUCACAGAGCUGAAGCUACAAGAGAUAAACUCAUCUCACUUAAAGACAUUUCUUGUCGAAUAACUGGCGACAUAAAUGAUAAGAAUUAUUGGCCAAA
RNAcentral lists this small RNA (367 nucleotides) under Drosophila virilis. Its description in RNAcentral is "GJ25961". The record is from RNAcentral. Lineage: Eukaryota; Metazoa; Arthropoda; Insecta; Diptera; Drosophilidae.